UACAGAGGGUGCAAGCGUUAAUCGGAAUUACUGGGCGUAAAGCGUGCGUAGGUGGUUUUUUAAGUCCGUUGUGAAAGCCCUGGGCUCAACCUGGGAAUGGCAGUGGAUACUGGAAAGCUAGAGUGCGGUAGAGGGUAGUGGAAUUCCCGGUGUAGCAGUGAAAUGCGUAGAGAUCGGGAGGAACACCAGUGGCGAAGGCGGCUACCUGGACCAGCACUGACACUGAGGCACGAAAGCGUGGGGAGCAAGCAGG
RNAcentral lists this ribosomal RNA (253 nucleotides) under uncultured bacterium. RNAcentral describes it as "partial 16S ribosomal RNA". It matches the Rfam family "Bacterial small subunit ribosomal RNA", at positions 524 to 776 of the family's 1533-position model. The record is from RNAcentral.